AUCCAGCUGACGUGUCCCAAAUAGAACGAAAUUUUAGUCCUGGAU
Molecule: non-coding RNA, 45 nt
Filed under: Schistosoma margrebowiei
Lineage: Eukaryota; Metazoa; Platyhelminthes; Trematoda; Strigeidida; Schistosomatidae
Source: RNAcentral